UUCAUAUGGAUAUCCAGGGCUCAAGAACAGCCUCAAACGACUCAGAAGCACCUAGUUACACAAUGACAGAUAUCGCAUCAACAAAACAGACAUGACAUCUCCAGAAAAUAUGGAAGUUCAUAAAAAAAGAACUAAGUAAAUUUGAAAUGAAUUAAACAUAAUCCGAGACCACGCAUCAUAGUUAAUUUACUGAUAUGUAAUGCAUCUAAUUAGAAAAACAUCAUUGCCAUUACUGCAAAUGUGACAGUAUUUUCAUGUCGUAUGGCAGUUGAUUCACUUCAAAAAUAUACAAGCCGCAGCAUCAUAACAAGAGAGAGAGAGUUAAUAAUUGAUUUAAAGGAAACCUGAAAUACUUAAUAAUUUUUCCAGAAAGAGGCACAUAAAUGCCCAGGUGAAAUGUUGUUAAAAAUAAAAAAAAUCAAUUCACUUAGAGCAAUAGGUGCAAUUAAACAAAAACCAACAGUUUCAUCAAGCAGUAAAUGUAGCUGUCCUUUUAAGAUCAAAAUCCUAAAGAUGCUUGUUAAGCAUAUGCAUUGAACUAUGAUGACAAAACUCAUGAAAAUACAAAGAUAGGACAUGAACAUGGAAAGAACUAACUGCUGUAAUAUAUCAAUUGCAAAGUUAGAUGAUAAAGAACAAACAGGGUAAUCAGAAACUUCAAUAACAGACCUGAGCACCAGUGAGCUUAUUAUCCCAGCUAAGCACACCGUAGUAUGGCCCUCCCGAGAAAGCACCAGCAUGCUUGGCCA
Molecule: unclassified non-coding RNA, 749 nt
Filed under: Hevea brasiliensis (rubber tree)
Lineage: Eukaryota; Viridiplantae; Streptophyta; Magnoliopsida; Malpighiales; Euphorbiaceae
Source: RNAcentral